CCUACGGGAGGCAGCAGUGGGGAAUAUUGCACAAUGGGCGCAGGCCUGAUGCAGCCAUGCCGCGUGUAUGAAGAAGGCCUUCGGGUUGUAAAGUACUUUCAGCGGGGAGGAAGGCGCUGAGGUUAAUAACCUCAGCGAUUGACGUUACCCGCAGAAGAAGCACCGGCUAACUCCGUGCCAGCAGCCGCGGUAAUACGGAGGGUGCAAGCGUUAAUCGGAAUUACUGGGCGUAAAGCGCACGCAGGCGGUUUGUUAAGUCAGAUGUGAAAUCCCCGGGCUCAACCUGGGAACUGCAUCUGAUACUGGCAAGCUUGAGUCUCGUAGAGGGGGGUAGAAUUCCAGGUGUAGCGGUGAAAUGCGUAGAGAUCUGGAGGAAUACCGGUGGCGAAGGCGGCCCCCUGGACGAAGACUGACGCUCAGGUGCGAAAGCGUGGGGAGCAAACAGGAUUAGAUACCCGUGUAGUC
RNAcentral lists this ribosomal RNA (465 nucleotides) under uncultured bacterium. RNAcentral's name for it is "bacterial SSU rRNA". It matches the Rfam family "Bacterial small subunit ribosomal RNA", at positions 338 to 795 of the family's 1533-position model. The record is from RNAcentral.